RNAcentral lists this ribosomal RNA (451 nucleotides) under Nonionella sp. T1. RNAcentral describes it as "SSU rRNA". It matches the Rfam family "Eukaryotic small subunit ribosomal RNA", at positions 1199 to 1467 of the family's 1831-position model. Lineage: Eukaryota; Foraminifera; Rotaliida; Nonionidae. The record is from RNAcentral.
GCUUAAUUUGACUCAACGCGGGAAAUCUUACCGGGUCCGGACACACUGAGGAUUGACAGGUAACGUUAUACACACAUAUAUUUACUCUCGGGUAUUURUACUGCUGUGUAUAUAUAAAAUAUGCUAGUCCUUUCAUGAUUAUGUGAUAGGUGGUGCAUGGCCGUUCUUAGUUCGUGGAGUGAUCUGUCUGCUUAAUUGCGUUUCACUAAGGAUCUAUAUUCAUAUUACGCAUAGCAUUUUGACCCCUUUAUGCUUCGGUAUAAAGCUGCGCGUCAAACCUUGCUAUCUGCGUAUAUUAGAUCCUGAAAGCAACGAACGUGACCGCAACCUCUUGUUGCCUUUAACUAGGUUUUGCUUACGUAUAGCUUCGGCUUUACGCUUUGCAUCUAAAAAGGCUGAUUUUCUAAACUAGAGGGACCGCUGUUACUUUCUUAAACCAGAGGAAGGUUGC